This 719-nucleotide ribosomal RNA is filed under the name Nautichthys pribilovius (eyeshade sculpin). Its description in RNAcentral is "partial 12S ribosomal RNA". It matches the Rfam family "Bacterial small subunit ribosomal RNA", at positions 327 to 1345 of the family's 1533-position model. Lineage: Eukaryota; Metazoa; Chordata; Actinopteri; Perciformes; Agonidae. The record is from RNAcentral.
UGCCCCACAGUUCCCCGUCCGGGAACAAGGAGCUGGUAUCAGGCACACUAUCAAGCCCAUGACGCAUUGCUARGCCACASCCUCAAGGGAACUCAGCAGUGAUAAACAUUAAGCCAUAAGUGAAAACUUGACUUAGUUAARGCUAAGAGGGCCGGUAAAACUCGUGCCAGCCACCGCGGUUAUACGAGAGGCCCAAGUUGAUGACCGCCGGCGUAAAGCGUGGUUAAGUAAAAAUCUCACACUAAAGUCAAACGUCUUCAAGACUGUUAUACGUAGCCGAAGACAGGAAGUACAACCACGAAAGUGRCUUUAUAGAAUCUGAACCCACGAAAGCUAAGGAACAAACUGGGAUUAGAUACCCCACUAUGCCUAGCCCUAAACAUUGAUAGUAUUACACACCCACUAUCCGCCCGGGAACUACGAGCAAUAGCUUAAAACCCAAAGGACUUGGCGGUGCUUUAGAUCCACCUAGAGGAGCCUGUUCUAGAACCGAUAACCCCCGUUCAACCUCACCCUUCCUUGUUUAUCCCGCCUAUAUACCGCCGUCGUCAGCUUACCCUGUGAGGGACUAAUAGUAAGCAAAACUGGUAUAACCUUGAACGUCAGGUCGAGGUGUAGCGUAUGGAGGGGGAAAGAAAUGGGCUACAUUUCGCUAUCACAGCGAAACACGAAAAGUGCACCUGAAACGUGCAUCUGAAGGAGGAUUUAGCAGUAAGYRG